RNAcentral lists this long non-coding RNA (221 nucleotides) under Elaeis guineensis (African oil palm). RNAcentral describes it as "long non-coding RNA (EGUI_LNC053271)". The record is from RNAcentral. Lineage: Eukaryota; Viridiplantae; Streptophyta; Magnoliopsida; Arecales; Arecaceae.
UCAUACUAAAAAUUGAGCAUGAAGCCUGGUAGCUAUUUGAAAUCUUAAGUGAAAACUUAUUGCACCACAUGUCUACUACCAAGAGAGGCCCCCGUAUGUCUGGACCUAAAUGGGAUGGGAUUUAUGAAAUUGAUAGUUCAAUGGACAUCCACAGUCAAAUGGAUAAAUUAUCUCAAAUGAUGAUCCGAAUACUACAAGUAAUGCCCACCAGCACCCCACCC